Molecule: ribosomal RNA, 430 nt
Filed under: uncultured Actinomycetes bacterium
Lineage: Bacteria; Bacillati; Actinomycetota; Actinomycetes
Description: bacterial SSU rRNA
Rfam family: Bacterial small subunit ribosomal RNA
Source: RNAcentral
UGGCUUAGAGUUUGAUCCUGGCUCAGGACGAACGCUGGCGGCGUGCUUAACACAUGCAAGUCGAACGGAAAGGCCCUUUCGGGGGUACUCGAGUGGCGAACGGGUGAGUAACACGUGGGUGAUCUGCCCUGCACUUUGGGAUAAGCCUGGGAAACUGGGUCUAAUACCGAAUACACCUUGCUGGUCGCAUGGCCUGGUGGGGGAAAGCUUUUGCGGUGUGGGAUGGGCCCGCGGCCUAUCAGCUUGUUGGUGGGGUGAUGGCCUACCAAGGCGACGACGGGUAGCCGGCCUGAGAGGGUGUCCGGCCACACUGGGACUGAGAUACGGCCCAGACUCCUACGGGAGGCAGCAGUGGGGAAUAUUGCACAAUGGGCGCAAGCCUGAUGCAGCGACGCCGCGUGAGGGAUGACGGCCUUCGGGUUGUAAACCU